UCGAUUGAGUUUGAUCCUGGCUCAGAACGAACGCUGGCGGCAGGCCUAACACAUGCAAGUCGAACGCGUGUAGCAAUACACGAGUGGCGCACGGGUGAGUAACACGUGGGAAUCAACCUUGAGGUUCGGAAUAACCGCGGGAAACUGCGGCUAAUACCGGAUGUCCCCUAUGGGGGAAAGAUUUAUCGCCUUGGGACGAGCCCGCGUCCGAUUAGCUAGUUGGUGAGGUAAUGGCUCACCAAGGCUACGAUCGGUAGCUGGUCUGAGAGGAUGACCAGCCACACUGGAACUGAGAUACGGUCCAGACUCCUACGGGAGGCAGCAGUGGGGAAUAUUGGGCAAUGGAGGCAACUCUGACCCAGCCAUGCCGCGUGGGUGACGAAGGUCUUCGGAUUGUAAAGCCCUUUCGGCGGAGACGAUGAUGACGGUAUCCGCAGAAGAAGCCCCGGCUAACUUCGUGCCAGCAGCCGCGGUAAUACGAAGGGGGCUAGCGUUGUUCGGAAUUACUGGGCGUAAAGGGCGUGUAGGCGGUCCGCUAAGUCAGGUGUGAAAGGCCUGGGCUCAACCCAGGAAAUGCGCCUGAGACUGACGGACUUGAGUCCGGGAGAGGAUGGUGGAACUCCCAGUGUAGAGGUGAAAUUCGUAGAUAUUGGGAAGAACACCCGUGGCGAAGGCGGCCAUCUGGACCGGUACUGACGCUAAGGCGCGACAGCGUGGGGAGCAAACAGGAUUAGAUACCCUGGUAGUCCACGCCGUAAACGAUGAGUGCUAGACGUUGGGAAG
Molecule: ribosomal RNA, 783 nt
Filed under: uncultured bacterium
Lineage: Bacteria
Description: bacterial SSU rRNA
Rfam family: Bacterial small subunit ribosomal RNA
Source: RNAcentral